This 528-nucleotide ribosomal RNA is filed under the name Paracoccus sp. CSeB30_18. RNAcentral describes it as "bacterial SSU rRNA". It matches the Rfam family "Bacterial small subunit ribosomal RNA", at positions 57 to 632 of the family's 1533-position model. The record is from RNAcentral. Lineage: Bacteria; Pseudomonadati; Pseudomonadota; Alphaproteobacteria; Rhodobacterales; Paracoccaceae.
GCAGUCGAGCGAGACCUUCGGGUCUAGCGGCGGACGGGUGAGUAACGCGUGGGAACGUGCCCUUUGCUACGGAAUAGCCCCGGGAAACUGGGAGUAAUACCGUAUGUGCCCUUCGGGGGAAAGAUUUAUCGGCAAAGGAUCGGCCCGCGUUGGAUUAGGUAGUUGGUGGGGUAAUGGCCUACCAAGCCGACGAUCCAUAGCUGGUUUGAGAGGAUGAUCAGCCACACUGGGACUGAGACACGGCCCAGACUCCUACGGGAGGCAGCAGUGGGGAAUCUUAGACAAUGGGGGCAACCCUGAUCUAGCCAUGCCGCGUGAGUGAUGAAGGCCUUAGGGUUGUAAAGCUCUUUCAGCUGGGAAGAUAAUGACGGUACCAGCAGAAGAAGCCCCGGCUAACUCCGUGCCAGCAGCCGCGGUAAUACAGAGGGGGCUAGCGUUGUUCGGAAUUACUGGGCGUAAAGCGCACGUACGCGGACCGGACAGUCAGAGGUGAAAUCCCACGGCUCAACCUUGGAACUGCCUUUGAAA